This is a small nucleolar RNA of Vicia villosa (hairy vetch), 106 nucleotides long. Lineage: Eukaryota; Viridiplantae; Streptophyta; Magnoliopsida; Fabales; Fabaceae. The record is from RefSeq and is a predicted model, not a curated record.
AGACCAUGAUGUGGGUAGAGCCUCAUCAUAUCUUAUACCUCUCCCAAGCUUCAAAAAAAUACUCGUCAUCUUUCUGUCUAUAAAAAUUUAUUUGGCUCCUUAGCAU